GGGGAUAUAGCUCAGUUGGUAGAGUGUUGCCUUUGCACGGCAAGUGUUAGCGGUUCGAAUCCGCUUAUCUCCA
Molecule: transfer RNA, 73 nt
Filed under: Cryptomonas sp. CCAC 1634B
Lineage: Eukaryota; Cryptophyceae; Cryptomonadales; Cryptomonadaceae
Description: tRNA-Ala
Rfam family: tRNA
About the family: Transfer RNA (tRNA) molecules are approximately 80 nucleotides in length. Their secondary structure includes four short double-helical elements and three loops (D, anti-codon, and T loops).
Source: RNAcentral